GGCAUGACGUUGAUCAAGAGGAGUAACUAGUUACAGCCUUUUAGAGAGAGAACGAGAUGGUGAGACGUUCUUAGGAGAGACUAGUGAAGGUAGCUUGGGAGUUUUUAUCUUGAACCCUUUAUCGUGUACAGCAAACCGAUAAAACCUAGAGAUAAACGAGUCGUGAUCGUUAACUCACAUGAGAGGUAGUAGGAAACUGCUACAAAUUAGGUGGUACCGCGUAAAUCAAUACGUCCUAAAA
RNAcentral lists this non-coding RNA (241 nucleotides) under Enterococcus hirae. RNAcentral's name for it is "T-box sequence". It matches the Rfam family "T-box leader". From Rfam's summary of the family: Uncharged tRNA acts as the effector for transcription antitermination of genes in the T-box leader family. Lineage: Bacteria; Bacillati; Bacillota; Bacilli; Lactobacillales; Enterococcaceae. The record is from RNAcentral.